CACCAUUCCUGGCUCUGGGGGGCUCCAGGCUCUCCUCCACGCUGCCUCAGCCGCAUGGCAAUUAGACACGGUUUCCAGCAGGCCAGCUGUGCCUCCCAAGUACCUAUAAUGAAUAUUUGCAGCUCCAGGCUCCCGCGGAAAUCCUCAAGCCUUCACUUGUCACCGUCAUUUCCUUGGGAAGUGUUUCUAAUUACACAGUGCUUGCUGCCUGCUCCAGGUCGAGUCUUCUGGUAUACAACAUACGAAUUACAUAAAACCGCAAAACAGUCAGGGGACCCUGGCUGGGUCCAAAUUGCUAUGUAGUUGUUUUUAACUUCGCAGUUAAGCCAUACUGGGUGUAACAGGGCGUCAUUUGCAUGAGCGAAAACAACAGUAAAGGAACAGCACGUGCCUCAGUCUUUAUAACUCUCUGUAGAGGUCAGAGCCCGCUUCAGCAAGACAGCCAUAUAAUAAUAGAAUUUCCAGCUCUAACACACGGACUGUUUAUUUUAACUGUUAUAGCAGGGGUUUUGUGAUGAGAGACUUCAUUUUGUAUUGUCACCUGGGACCUGCCAUUUAGGGAACUUCUGGCUGUUUAGUUUCCUGGAGGUGGAAACAUCACUACCUUUGCACUCUCUUAGUUUAGGAAUUUCAGCAGGAAGGUGCAGCCGCAGCAAGAAAUGCCAUUUGCUCCAGGCUUCCUUCUGCCCACUGGCUCCUCCUCCGCAUCUCUAAGCCCUGAGUGCCCAGGGCUCAGUCGGGACCUCUUCUCUCUGUCUACGCUUGGUUCGAAGAAGAGAAUGCUCUCGCCUUCGUCUGGACCUGUAAGCCUUGCUUCAGAGGCUACCUUCUCACAGACCCUCCCAGAUCCCCACUGCAUGGGCACUGAGAGUUUGCACCUGUCUCAUAAGGUGUUAAUUAUUCAAUGCAUGCUGGUGGAAUUCAUGAAGAAGCAGUUGGGUAUCGGUGUCUGUCCCAUCUGUAUUUAAAAAUCCUGGAAUAUAGUAGAUGCUCAAUUAAAACAUGUUUUUAGUGAACGGAUUGCUAUCUACUAAAUACAGGACACUUGGGGGAGGGAAGCACGAGAGUGGAUCCCGCCUUCAGUCACUCUUUCCACCCUGCAUGACAAAAGAAGAGCUGUCACCAGGCAGGACGUGAUUGUGACUUAUUGACAAAAGUCUGUGGGACUCAGAGAAAGCUUUUCUAAGCCUACACAGCCAAAGUCAGAAAAUGUAAGGGAGGAGAUUGUUUCUACCGCAUAAAAAUGAAACAUUCUGUACUUCAAAAAAAUCAUAAAUACAGUUAAGGCAAAUGGCAAACGAGGAAAAAGUUGCCAAUAGAUUAGCAAAGGGUUACUAUCCUUAAUAUUUGAAGAGGUGGUCUCUAUCAGUAAGAAAAAGACAAAUAUUACAAAACAUUAGGGAAAGGAUAUAAAUAGUGAAAACAAAAAGAAAAAUAUAAG
Molecule: long non-coding RNA, 1441 nt
Filed under: Equus caballus (horse)
Lineage: Eukaryota; Metazoa; Chordata; Mammalia; Perissodactyla; Equidae
Description: lncRNA (ENSECAG00000031329.3)
Source: RNAcentral